UACGGGGGAUGCAAGCGUUAUCCGGAUUUAUUGGGUUUAAAGGGUGCGUAGGCUGUGAGGUAAGUCAGCGGUGAAAUGCCCCCGCUCAACGGGGUGAAGUGUCAUUGAUACUGCCUUGCUGGAAUGCGGAUGCCGUGGGAGGAAUGUGUGGUGUAGCGGUGAAAUGCAUAGAUAUCACACAGAACACCGAUUGCGAAGGCAUCUCACGAAUCCGCGAUUGACGCUGAUGCACGAAAGCGUGGGUAUCAAACAGG
This 254-nucleotide ribosomal RNA is filed under the name uncultured bacterium. Its description in RNAcentral is "partial 16S ribosomal RNA". It matches the Rfam family "Bacterial small subunit ribosomal RNA", at positions 524 to 776 of the family's 1533-position model. The record is from RNAcentral.